Molecule: ribosomal RNA, 319 nt
Filed under: uncultured eukaryote
Lineage: Eukaryota
Description: partial 18S ribosomal RNA
Rfam family: Eukaryotic small subunit ribosomal RNA
Source: RNAcentral
CCCUUAGACGUUCUGGGCCGCACGCGCGCUACAAUGGUCUUCGCAAACGGAUGCAUUCUCGAAGGAGAAUGCCAAUCUUGGAAUCUAUGCCUUGGUCGGGACAGUUGCUUGCAAUUUUUCGACUCGAACCAGGAAUUCCUUGUAAUCGUGAUUCAUCACAUCACGAUGAAUACGUCCCUGCCCUUUGUACACACCGCCCGUCGCUCCUACCGAUCGAAGAGUUAGGUGAAUUGUUUUGAUCGAUAAGAUUUGACUAUGGUCAACUCUCGUUGUGAAAUUCUGUGAAUCUGACUGUUUAGAGGAAGGAAAAGUCGUAACA